Molecule: long non-coding RNA, 683 nt
Organism: Brassica napus (rape)
Lineage: Eukaryota; Viridiplantae; Streptophyta; Magnoliopsida; Brassicales; Brassicaceae
Exons: 2
Source: RefSeq, a predicted model, not a curated record
CAACACAUACGAAGAAGAGGUAAUAAAGAAAAUUGAAGGUAGUGGUGAAUGUGUAAAGGUGAAGGAGGAAGAGAAAAAGAAUGUUCUGAUGCUGAGAUUAAACUAUGACUCGGUGAUAUCAACUUGGGGAGGCCAAGGUCCACCGUGGACAUCAGGAGAGCCACCAGAACGUGACAUAGAUAUCAGCAGUUGGCCAUUUGUUUCCAUGGGGGGAAAUGUUAGAGAAAAUCAGCAGAAGCAUCACGUUGGUGGAUGUUUACCUUCGAGUGGGUUUGGGAUGGAGGAAGAGAAGCUAGAGUCUCGAGGUACAGGGAGAAGAGGAGGACGAGAUUGUUUUCGAAGAAGAUAAGGUACGAAGUACGAAAACUGAAUGCAGAGAAAAGACCUCGAAUGAAAGGAAGAUUCGUUAAGAGAGCUUCCCUUGCUGUUUCUGCUAUGAACUCACCAUCAGGUGUGAAUUACUGAAUAUUCCUGUUAUAUCUCACUUUAGCUUUUUAUUUUAAAGAAGCUGAAGUUUUUGUAAGUUUUUUUUUCUUCUGCAACGACAGAAGUUUUGUUUUUUGCACUUAAUUGUGCUUUCUGGACUUGGUAUGUGCACAGGAAAACCAAUAAUGUGACUUUCUUGUCUGGAUAGAGCUGAUGUAUAUAUUAUCUGGUAAUAAUAAUGUGACAAGUCAUUUUUA